ACACACACAAUCCCUGAGCAAUUGUGGAGGGGAGAAAUACACUCAGGGAACAUCAAUUCAAGGAGCUACAUGAAAUGCUGUUACAGUGACUGAGAACAUUUCUCAUGUGAAUUCUAGUGGAGACCCUUGUGUGCCUCUAUAUUGACAGUACCUUACAUGAUUCAUGACAGCUCAGCUCACUCGGUUUAUCUUUCCUCCAACAGGUUUAGUGAGUCACAGCUCUUUAUCUUUCCUCCAACAGGUUUAGUGAGUCAUAGCUCUUUAUCUUUCCUCCUUCAGGUUUAGUGAGUCACAGCUCUAUCUUUCCUCCAACAGGUUUAGUGAGUCACAGCUCUUUAUCUUUCCUCAUUCAGGUUUAGUGAGUCACGGCUCUUUAUCUUUCCUCCAACAGGUUUAGUGAGUCACAGCUCUUUAUCUUUCCUCCAACAGGUUUAGUGAGUCACAGCUCUAUCUUUCCUCAUUCAGGUUUAGUGAGUCACAGCUCUUUAUCUUUCCUCAUUCAGGUUUAGUGAGUCACAGCUCUUUAUCUUUCCUCAUUCAGGUUUAGUGAGUCACAGCUCUUUAUCUUUCCUCAUUCAGGUUUAGUGAGUCACAGCUCUUUAUCUUUCCUCAUUCAGGUUUAGUGAGUCACAGCUCUUUAUCUUUCCUCAUUCAGGUUUAGUGAGUCACAGCUCUUUAUCUUUCCUCAUUCAGGUUUAGUGAGUCACAGCUCUUUAUCUUUCCUCCAACAGGUUUAGUGAGUCACAGCUCUUUAUCUUUCCUCCAACAGGUUUAGUGAGUCACAGCUCUUUAUCUUUCCUCCAACAGGUUUAGUGAGUCACAGCUCUUUAUCUUUCCUCAUUCAGGUGUAGUGAGUCACAGCUCUUUAUUUUUCCUCAUUCAGGUUUAGUGAGUCACAGCUCUUUAUUUUUCCUCAUUCAGGUUUAGUGAGUCACAGCUCUUUAUCUUUCCUCAUUCAGGUUUAGUGAGUCACAGCUCUUUAUCUUUCCUCAUUCAGGUUUAGUGAGUCACAGCUCUUUAUCUUUCCUCAUUCAGGUUUAGUGAGUCACAGCUCUUUAUCUUUCCUCCAACAGGUUUAGUGAGUCACAGCUCUAUCUUUCCUCAUUCAGGUUUAGUGAGUCACAGCUCUUUAUCUUUCCUCAUUCAGGUUUAGUGAGUCACAGCUCUUUAUCUUUCCUCAUUCAGGUUUAGUGAGUCACAGCUCUUUAUCUUUCCUCCAACAGGUUUAGUGAGUCACAGCUCUUUAUCUUUCCUCCAACAGGUUUAGUGAGUCACAGCUCUUUAAUCUUUCCUCCAACAGGUUUAGUGAGUCACAGCUCUUUAUCUUUCCUCAUUCAGGUUUAGUGAGUCACAGCUCUUUAUCUUUCCUCAUUCAGGUUUAGUGAGUCACAGCUCUUUAUCCUUCCUCCAACAGGUUUAGAUAGUCAAAGCUCUUUAUCUUUCCUCUGACAGGUUUAGUGAGUCACAGCUCUUUAUCUUUCCUCCAACAGGUUUAGUGAGUCACAGCUCUUUAUCUUUCCUCCAACAGGUUUAGUGAGUCACAGCUCUUUAAUCUUUCCUCCAACAGGUUUAGUGAGUCACAGCUCUUUAUCUUUCCUCAUUCAGGUUUAGUGAGUCACAGCUCUUUAUCUUUCCUCAUUCAGGUUUAGUGAGUCACAGCUCUUUAUCUUUCCUCAUUCAGGUUUAGUGAGUCACAGCUCUUUAUCUUUCCUCCAACAGGUUUAGUGAGUCACAGCUCUUUAUCUUUCCUCCAACAGGUUUAGUGAGUCACAGCUCUUUAAUCUUUCCUCCAACAGGUUUAGUGAGUCACAGCUCUUUAUCUUUCCUCAUUCAGGUUUAGUGAGUCACAGCUCUUUAUCUUUCCUCAUUCAGGUUUAGUGAGUCACAGCUCUUUAUCUUUCCUCAUUCAGGUUUAGUGAGUCACAGCUCUUUAUCUUUCCUCUGACAGGUUUAGUGAGUCACAGCUCUUUAUCUUUCCUCCAACAGGUUUAGUGAGUCACAGCUCUUUAUCUUUCCUCCAACAGGUUUAGUGAGUCACAGCUCUUUAAUCUUUCCUCCAACAGGUUUAGUGAGUCACAGCUCUUUAUCUUUCCUCAUUCAGGUUUAGUGAGUCACAGCUCUUUAUCUUUCCGCAUUCAGGUUUAGUGAGUCACAGCUCUUUAUCCUUCCUCCAACAGGUUUAGAUAGUCAAAGCUCUUUAUCUUUCCUCAUUCAGGUUUAGUGAGUCACAGCUCUUUAUCUUUCCUCAUUCAGGUUUAGUGAGUCACAGCUCUUUAUCUUUCCUCCAACAGGUUUAGUGAGUCACAGCUCUUUAUCUUUCCUCCUUCAGGUUUAGUGAGUCACAGCUCUUGCUAUCUUUCCUCCUUCAGGUUUAGUGAGUCACAGCUCUUUAUCUUUCCUCCUUCAGGUUUAGUGAGUCACAGCUCUUUAUCUUAACCUCAUUCAGGUUUAGUGAGUCACAGCUCUUUAUCUUUCCUCCAACAAGUUUAGUGAGUCACAGCUCUUUAUCUUUCCUCCUUCAGGUUUAGUGAGUCACAGCUCUUUAUCUUAACCUCAUUCAGGUUUAGUGAGUCACAGCUCUUUAUCUUUCCUCCAACAAGUUUAGUGAGUCACAGCUCUUUAUU
Long non-coding RNA from Salvelinus fontinalis (brook trout), 2624 nucleotides. RefSeq lists it as uncharacterized. The transcript has 3 exons. The record is from RefSeq and is a predicted model, not a curated record. Lineage: Eukaryota; Metazoa; Chordata; Actinopteri; Salmoniformes; Salmonidae.